UGGCAAGGGGUGUUUCCAAGAUGGCAGCCAAGCAAACUGAGAUUAUUGUUUGACAGAGAAACCAAUCCUGUAUUACAGUUUGUCUCCUGUCAGACCAGGUUGUGGCUGACUGUUGCCAGUUCCAUGAUCUAACAUCUGAAUAGUGCCCCAAAAAAGGGAUGGCUGAUUUGAAUACCCAUAUAUCAGUCCUGCCCCGGGCUGGUUUUGGGGUAAUUACAUUUUGGCAGUUUUCGCCUUGAUGUUGGAAAAACACACUUUUUUGAAGACUUUUGAAGAGGCUGAGAAGGUUCUGGUGUCCCUCUGGGAGAUUUGGAGACCGGAGCCUCAUAUAUAAAAACAUACUUACUGUAUAAUCAUCCUUA
Molecule: long non-coding RNA, 362 nt
Organism: Cyprinus carpio (common carp)
Lineage: Eukaryota; Metazoa; Chordata; Actinopteri; Cypriniformes; Cyprinidae
Exons: 3
Source: RefSeq, a predicted model, not a curated record